AAGAGACAGCAGUAGCCGCGGUAAUACGUAGGGUGCGAGCGUUAAUCGGAAUUACUGGGCGUAAAGCGUGCGCAGGCGGUUGUACAAGACAGAUGUGAAAUCCCCGGGCUUAACCUGGGAAUGGCAUUUGUGACUGUACGGCUAGAGUGUGUCAGAGGGGGGUAGAAUUCCACGUGUAGCAGUGAAAUGCGUAGAUAUGUGGAGGAAUACCGAUGGCGAAGGCAGCCCCCUGGGAUAACACUGACGCUCAUGCACGAAAGCGUGGGGAGCAAACAGGAUUAGAUACCCCUGUAGUCCCUGUCUCUUAUAC
This 310-nucleotide ribosomal RNA is filed under the name uncultured bacterium. RNAcentral describes it as "partial 16S ribosomal RNA". It matches the Rfam family "Bacterial small subunit ribosomal RNA", at positions 503 to 807 of the family's 1533-position model. The record is from RNAcentral.